UACGUAGGGGGCAAGCGUUGUCCGGAUUUAUUGGGCGUAAAAGGCUUGUAGGUGGCCACGCCAAGUCGGAUGUGAAAUCUCCCGGCUCAACUGGGAGGGGUCAUUCGAUACUGGCGGGCUCGAGGCCGGUAGGGGGAAGUGGAAUUCCAGGUGUAGCGGUGAAAUGCGUAGAUAUCUGGAGGAACACCGGUGGCGAAGGCGGCAUCCUGGACCGGCAUUGACGCUGAGGCGCGAAAGCUAGGGGAGCAAACGGG
Molecule: ribosomal RNA, 254 nt
Filed under: uncultured bacterium
Lineage: Bacteria
Description: partial 16S ribosomal RNA
Rfam family: Bacterial small subunit ribosomal RNA
Source: RNAcentral